UAAGGUUAUAAACAAGUAAGUUAUACAUGAGGAUGAUUUUAUGGUGACCUUGUGAUCAUGGGCCUAUACUUGUGAUGUAUGAAAUGUGGUGAAAAUGAUUUGUGAUAUAUAUGUUAAAAUGAGGUUAAUACAAAGAAAGUGUGAAAGAGUGAAUUAGCAAUAAAACUGUUUUGGACAGUAUCAGUGACGUGAUUUUGAAAAAUCACCAAAACUAGUAUAAAUUGAAUCAGAGACUGAAUAAGAUAUCAAAUUAAAGCUUAAUGAGUCUAUUUUCAUAUAAAAGAAAUAUAUAAAGCAAAGGAGUUCUAUAUAUUGAGAUAUUUAUAUUUUUGUUAGACUAAUUCAGAAUGAUUACGUGAUCCCCUAUUCUGACUUUGGAAAAUCACAAAAAUUUUGAUAAAAAUAAUUAGAGGCUCAAAAUUAUAUUUUUAAAAUCCAUAAUGAGUCUAUUUUCAAGAUAAAUCAACAAGAAAAUUAUCCAAGUUCUGUAAUAUGAGAUAAUUAUUUUUUAGUGAAGAGAGGUCAGAACUGUCAGAAAGUGAAACAGGGGAAAUUUUAAUGAAAAACUAUACUAAUUUGCUAAACCAAAAAUUAUGAAAAUUUUAUGGUGGAAAGAUAUGUGAGUCUAGUUUCAGGGUAAAUUUAUGGAUCUUAAUUUGGAGCUCUGUAGCUCGAAUUAUAAAUAAUUAAGUGACUAUGACUCGUGUGGACAGUUUGAUGUGAACAUUUAUUAGUAAAUUGUGAAAUCGUACUUACAAGAAUGCUAUAUACAUUAAGGAUGUGGAAUGGAGAGGAGGAGGAGGAAAAUAAAUAUAUGUGGAAUACAUGGAAACUAUGGUAUAUGAAAUAUUGAUAUAAUGAAAUAAAUGAUAUGUGUUUAUAAGAAAACAAAAAGAGAAUGUUAUGUAUCAUGACAUAUAUAUGACUAGUCUCAAUGUAAUGCUUGUUGGGUAUGGAAUUAAAUUGAAAUGUUUCAGGCAAACAUGUUAUUCUGCGCAUCUGAAUCAUGGUAUUUUAUAAAGAUAUGAUCUAGCUUUAAAUAUGAAUGCUUGAUGAUUAAGCUGAAGAUAUUUGGUAAGAUGAUAAUCUUGGUAUAAAUGUAUAAGUGGUACUAUAAUAAACAAGGUAAAAUGAGUAUGAGAGACACAUGUAUGAUGGCAUACAAAUGCUAUGUUUGUGGUUUAAUUGAGGAUGUUUAAUCAUUAAAUGAAUACCAUGUUAUAUGCUUUUGAUUUUGUAUAAGUUUGUAAGAGAUCAAGGUUGACCAAAGCUUGGAAAAUAGCCUAGGUAUAUUCCACACAGGUAGAGACACGACCAUGUGUCUCAAUCGUGUAUGGAACACGACUUUGGGACACGGGCGUGUGGAGCCUUAAAGCAUGAAAUUUCCAAGAUUUUCAUAAGUUCUCGGUUUAGUCCCAAACCCUUUCUAAAGUAUGUUUUGGGCUCCGUAGACUCAAAUAAGGGACUAUGUGUAAGAGAAUGAACGCUUUGAAAUAUGAAUAAAAUUUUAUGGCUCGUAUUUUAGUUUAAUGUUUGUAUGUUUGUCUGGUAACGCCUCGUACCUUAGCCCGGCCUCGGAUACGGGUAAGGGGUGUUACAUUUAGUGGUAUCAGAGCAGGUUUAGUCGAUUCUCGAACUAAUAUAGCAAGUGUAAGAGUUUAGUUAUACAUGCCACAAAUAUGUGAUAGUGUGAUGUCUCCCGACACUAAUAAGGACUAUUUUGUUUAAAAUGAAAUAUUCUCCAAUGGAGCUACAUCUGACCAUUUGAUAGCGAUAUUGAAGUAUUUGAAUAAAGUGUAGCUAUGAUGUGUUAAACUCGGAAAGGUAUGAAUAAGAAUUCGUGAUAUAUGUAUAUGUGAUAAUAUGUGAGAUGAAAGUUUAUAUAGUGAUAUAUUUAUUCAUAUUUGUUUGGCCUUCAUAUGCUGUUGCAUGCUUAACUAAAUUAAUUAGUAAAUGUGAUGAUUAAAGUUAUUCAAAAUUCAUAGAAUGUAUGAGUGAGUGCACUUGUUUGAAAUGAGAUAAUUUGAAAUUUUAUGUAAGACAGUAUGAAUAAUAAAUUGUUUGAAGUGGAUAGUAUGAUUAUAAUGACAUAUGUGGAUAAUGAAAAAAAAUGUGUCAUAUAGAUAUAUGUCAGAAUUGAGUUAGAGACUGUACGACCUCACCCCCUUACCGAUGAGGUGUAUAUAAUGGAAAUUCAUGAGAAUCAUGUUAACUAUGUUCCUAAGUGUGGAAUCAAAGAGUUCAGUGAUAAAAUAAUUAUAGAUAUGACCAGAGUCUGAGAAUGGUUGACAAGUGAAGGACAGAGUUAGACAAAUAUCAGAGUUUACUGAGUUAUCUUGGGAUUCAAAUUGAUGACAGAGUGUUUCUGAAAGUAUCGUCUUGAAAACAAUUAGUUAGUAAUGCUGGAAAUUAUGAGAAAGAUACUAAACCUCACUCUGGUAAGAUUUUCGAGGAUAAAAAUCUCUAAAGGGGGGAGAGUUGUAAUAGCCCAAAAUUGGGUCUAGUUGGAACAAAGGUUUCGGGACCACAAAAUCUGAGAUAUAUAUAAUUAUUUUAUGAUUAUUUUGAGGUCUAUGAUAUGAUUGCAUGAUUGUGUGAAAUUUUCGUGAAGAAAUUCUAUGCAUAAAGUGCUUAAUUCGAAGUUAGGGACUAAAUUGAAUAAGUUACAAAACUUGCAUUCUAGAAGUUUCUAAAAUAAAGUAGAAAAAGAAUGAUAUCAUCCCUUUCACCCCUUCUUCUUCACCGAAAUUCUCAGAAAAAUAAGGGUUCUUGGAGCUUUAAAAUUUCAGCCAAGCUAUCCUCUUGCAAGUAAGUCAAUUUGAAGGUUAUUUUUUAUAUUUUUUGUACUUUUGCAACCCUUACGACAUGAGCUAGCUAAUGGAGGGACCAUUUUACAAAAUGGAUGAUAGUCUAGGGAUUUGCCAUGAAAGGAUUUAUGAUGUUUGUUGAGUUUUUAUGAAAGAAAAUGAAUCUUCGUUGUGUUGUAAACAACUUUUGUGAAAGAACUUCCCAUGAAAACCCUAAUAGGACCAUUUUGUAAAGUUUGUAAAAUGGAUAGAAAGUUUUUUAAAUAAUGGGAAUUUUGGGUCACUAUAAGGGUAAAAAGGGUUCGGCUAGGCUUAAGAUUCGAAGAAAUUCGAUAAAAAUUGAUUUUCGAGACUAGGGGUAAAGUGGUCAUUUUGUGAAAGUUUAUGGGUAAAAUGGUCAUUUUGCCAAAAAAUGUGAGCUUUUGAUUGUAUAAUUUAAUUUAGUAAUUAAAUGAGUGAAUUCUUAUUAUUUUAGAUCAAGAAAUACAAAAUUCGAACCUAAACCGGGGGAAGGCCAAGCAAGUAGAUUAAAUCAUCUAGUCGCCUACAUUUUUAUAAUUCGAGGUAAGUUGUGUGUUAAUAAUGCAACUAUAUUGCUAUGAUGUAUGAAUGAAUUGAUAUUGCACAAAUUGUUUGAUUAUGAUUAUGAGAAUGUAUGUCGAGAUAUUAAUGUAGUAAAGACUUCCAGUUGAACAUUUGGAACAUACUUGGAUAUUCGUACCAUCACAUUAGGUAGUAUGUGAGCCAAUGUAAAACAUGACUGGGACAUGCAUUGGCAUUGAGACGAGAGCUAGUGUAAGACAUGUCUGGGACAUGCAUCGGCCUCGGGAUAUACAAGCUAGUGUAAGACCUGUCUGGGACAUGGCAUCGUCACUAAUAGGUGAGAGCUAGUGUAAGACCUGUCUAGGACAUGGCAUCGGCCUCUAUAUAUGAAAGUUAGUGUAAGACCUGUCUAGGACACGGGAUCGACUUUAAUGCACUAGCCAGUGUAAGACGAUGUCUGGGACAUGGCGUCGACAUCUUAUCCCAUGUUCAGGGUUAUUGAGUAUCCGAUAAUAUUUCAAAUGGUUCAACAGAACAUUUGUGAUUUAUAUCGAAAUGAGAAAGUUAUGACCAUGUGGUGAGUGAUACAUGUACUUAAUUGAAAUGUAUGAGAUAUGGGCUCAAUAUAUGCCAUAUGAAUUGUAUUAGAUGGUAAUGAGUAAGUUGUACUUAUGUCUAUUUAUUGUAUACAUGGACAAGCUAUAAAAUGUUAUGAGCAUAUUGUUGUAUGAUAAUUACUUGAUGUUUAUUUGCAUGCAACUUACUAAGCUUUAUGCUUACCCCUUUUCCUUUCUAUUUUCUUAUAGAGCCGCUAAAAUAGGUUGAGGAUCAUUGCCUACGUCGGAGAAGCCAGUCAUACUAUGACUUGAAACACUCGGUAUAGCUAGUUCUUUUGUUUUGAUUAUGGCAUGUAUAGGAUCUUGACUUUAGAGUUUUGUGUAAUUGUUAAUUGGCCAAAUGUGUUGGCUUAAUUUAAUACUUUACUCAUUUUGUAUAAGGCCAUGAAAAAUGGUCGAUAUUGAAAGUUAUUAUGUGAAUGCAAGAAAACCUUUCGUGAAUGUGAAAUUGUUGGCAUGGUUGAAUAUGUAGGAAAAGGUAUAUAGGCCUUAGUUAUGGUUGCUUAGUUGAGAAAUCUUGUUGUGAUAGACUUGGUAUGAUAGAUUGUGUUUCAGGGUGGCAAAGGGCUUGGUAGAUAGCCUUAUAUUGUCCACAUGGGUAGACACACUAGGCUGUGUGUGAUACCCGGUCAGCACCAUGGGCGUGUUGUUCAACUGUGUGUCCCCUGCACCUCGAAUUUGCAAGUCACUAUGCAUGGUAAUAAACACACUGACAGAGACACGGUCAUGUGUCUCAGCUGUGUGGAGGACACGGCCUAUGGCCAUGGGCGUGUGCCUUGGCCGUGUGCCCCCAAAUAGUUGCUGAUGUCAGAAACAGAAUGUAAAGGUUUUUAGACACGGGCUAAGACAUGGGCGUGUCAUGGCCGUGUGAGGGACACUGGCCAUGGACACGGGCAUGUGUCAAGCCAUGUGAAAAUCCCUGUAGGUUCGAAUUUGGAAUUUAAUUCAUACGGGCUCAGGGCACGGGCAUGUCCCCUUAUACUUAGGCAAUGUGAACCACACGGGCCCUUGGCACGGCCAGGUCAACAGGGUCACACGGGCGUGUUGCCCUUCCACACGGGGGUGUGCCCUGUUUUAAGUGACAUUUUUCAAAGUUUUCAAAGGUGUUCGAAUUAAUUCUAGAUAGUUUCAAAAGCUUAAUUUGGCCCUCGUAGACCCAUAUUAAGAAUUUCUAAACUAAGAUUGAAAAGUUUUAAAUUUGAUCAAAUUUUAUGAUUUGAAAUGAUUGUAUGCAUGAGUUUAAGUCAAGUAAUGCCUCCUACCCAGUCCCGGCCUUGGACUCAGGUAAGGGGGUGUUACACAAUCAUACUCUUUAAUUAUCAUCAUUACAUACUAAACAUAUAUCAAAUGGUCUUAUACUAAUAAUUAAACAUUCAUAAGGUCUAUUUAGCAAAAUUUCCCAAUCAAGUAUGUAGGUAUCAAUACUAGAAUAUGGGUAUCAAUAUUUUUCUCAAGUGGUAAUGAUAUUGCUUGGAAAAUCGAUACCAAAUCAACAUUUUGUUUCUCGUCUAAAAUCUAAAGUCUCAAAAAUUAUUGAUACCUUUCAAAAAGUAUCGAUUAUUUUACCCCGAGUAUUGAUGUAACACCCUUUACCCAUAUUCAACGCCAGAACAGGGUACGAGGCAUUAACGGACUUACAUCACAAGCAAACAUACAAAUCGAGUCAUAAAUUUUGCAUCCAAAUUAAAACCAUUUGUAUUCAAUCAUAAUGUCCCAAAUACGAGCCUACAAGGCCCAAAACAUACUUUAGAAGUGGUUCAGGACUAAACGGAGAACUCAGGGAAUUUUUAAAAAUUUAGAAAAUUUUUGCUAUGUAUAAGAUUCACACGCCCGUGUGGUUUGGAACAUGCCCGUAUGGGCAGGCCUUGUGGUCACACACACCCGUGUUCCUAACCCGUAUAACUCUCUAACUUGCAAGUUAUGAACAAGUUGAGGUCACACGACCACGUCACACGCCUGUGUACUAGGCCGUGUGGUUAAUUUAAUUUUCAUAAUAUAGGUGCAGACUUCACAUGCUCGAGACACACACCUGUGCCUGAGGCUGUGUCCCUUACACGACUAAGACACACUCCCAUGUCUCUUCUCGUGUGCUUAAUUCUGAGCAUUCUAUUUCUCAAAAUUUAGGUGUAGGGGACACACAGGUGAAACACAUGCCCAUAGGGCAAGCCAUGUGUCAUACAUGUCCUAGACACACAUCCGUUUGCCUACCUGUGUGGACAAAAUAAAGGCUAUCUACCAAGCCAUUUGCCACCCUCAUUUAUGCCUAUACACACACAAGUUCAAUGACAUAAAUCAUGGUAUACUUAGGCAACCAGAACAUCCAUAAUCAAGGUUAGAACAUAUCAUUUCACUAUCACACAUAACAUAUUUACAACAUCAUAUUCUACCAAACCAAAUCAAACCACACUCACAUCCACAAAUACCAACACAAUACUUCUAUCAUGCAUGAUUUUACUUAGUCUUCUUAGCAUACCAAUGAACCAAUCUUAACCAUUCAAUAACCAAAACCAUUAAGUCACAUUCAUUCAUUUACCAAGCAUUUAUAAACCACAUCACACAAGAGAUAAUUGCAAAUGCAUGCAUAUAUAUAAGCUUAAACCAAUUCAAUCAAAAUGAGCCAAGUUACAUGGCCAAAUACCACAUCAAGCCUUUGACAAUUACACGCCAAUUUAUUUGGCCAAAUUCAUAAUGACACAUAUAACAAAAUGACCAAGUCCCUAUACAUGCUAUAUUCUCAAAAUGUUUAAAAUCAUCGGUACCCAAAAUAACAAAUUGAUAGUGUGAUGCAAUCUCCGGCGAUCUCUAAUCCGAGCUAGCUUGGUGACACUAUAAAACAUGAAAAUAAAACGGAGUAAGCUAUAUAGCUUAGUAAGCUUGUAUGAAAGAAAUAAGCAACCUUACCAUACAUUAAUCAAGCAAGUAAUAUAACAUAAGAUAAUAUAAUUUACCAUAAUCUCAUGAUCAUAAUUCACUUCCAUCACAAGUUACCAUGAAAUCGUCAUCUCACGAAUUAAUAAUCCUAAGCUUUGAGUACAUACUUGUACCAUCUCGUAAUAAUUUCAUACUUAGCCUCAUCGUUGUCAUACUUGUACCAUCUCGUAAUAAUUUCAUACAUAGCCUCUCGUAAUAAUAUCGGAUACACAGGAAAACUUUGCAUACAAGGUGUCACAUAUGUAGCCAUUACUACCUUUAUCUCAUGACACAUAUAUGCUCAUUCUCGAGCUAUCAACGGGUCUACUCACACAAGCUUUCAAGUAACUGCAACAUAUGCCGGUAUAAUUAGCCAUCGAUAGGAUGUACAAGACCAGCACCUGGGUCACAUAACAUAAAACCCUAGUGACAUGUCACUUGUUCUUAAUCUAUUCCUAAGGUUUGAUUGGGAUUUCUUGCUUGCCAAAUCAUCGCCAAAUAUGUUCGUGAGGUCGAUUACACACAUUAUACAUAAAUUAAAGCAUUUAAAAUACAUUUAAAGUAAAGCUUAUUUAACAUACGAACUUACCUCGGUUCUAGAAACAACAAAAGGAUCUAUUCAUCAAUUAUUUUAUUUUUCCCCCGAUCUAGAUUCAAACUUCGUUUUUCUUGAUCUAUAAUGUCAAAUUUAACUUAUUUAAUCAUCACACUAUUCAAUUUAGCCCAAAAACAAAUUAUGGAAAAAUUUACAUUUUUACCCUUAACUUUUUAACAUUUUACAAUUUAGUCCCUAGGCUCUUUCAAUUUUUUCACAACCCAAGCCUAGUCGAUUGUUGUUUAUGCUCAUAACAGCCCACAUUUUUCAUUUAUUCACACUUUUCUACACAUUUUAUAGACUUUUACAAAUAAGUCCCUAUUUAACAUUUUUAUCGAAAAUCACUUUACAAAUGUUGUUUAACUAACAACGAACAUGCAAUUUCUACCAUCAAACAUCAAAAUACAUGCAUCCUCAAAAUGGGUAAAAUUUUAAACUUUUAUUUUCUUUCAAAUUAGUCCUUGAAAUAGCUAAAUCAAGUUACAACGAUCUCAAAAAUGUACAAAUCAUUAAAAACGGGACAAGAAUGAACUUACAAUCGAGCUUGAAAGCUUAGCCAAACCUGAGCUAUGUCUCCUCUUCUAAUUUUCGGCUAUGUGGAUGAAAUUGAAGAAGAUGACAUCUUUUAUUUUAGUUAAUUUGUCUUUAUUUACUAGAUUACCAAAAUUCCCUUCAUUUAAACUUUGAAAAUUUUCCUAACCAAGUCCAUUUUUGUCCAUCCUAAAUAUAAUGGUCUAAUUACCAUUUAAGGACCUUUAAUUUAAGAAUUCAUAACAAUUAAACACCUUUAGCCUAUAGAAUUCAACUUUUCCACCUAUUGCAAUUUAGUCCUUCUAGUCAAAUUGAGUACUCAAUCGAUAAAAUUUCUUAACAAAAUUUUCACACAAUUAUUCUAUCAUGUCAUAAACCUCAAAAUAGAAAUAAAAUAAAAUUUCUACUUCGAAUUUGUGGUCCCAAAACUACUGUUCCAAUUUGAACCAAUAACGGGCUGUUACAACUCUCUCCCUUUAGGGAUUUUUGUCCCCGAAAAUCUUACCAGAAAAGAGGUUAGGGUACUGUUUUCUCAUAGCUUCCUCGGGUUCCCACGUAGUCUCUUCGACCCCGUGUCGUUGCCACAAAACUUUCACUAAAGCUAUUCUUUUAUUUCUCAACUAUUUAACCUCUCAAGUUAACAAUUUGAUCGGCUCUUCACCAAAUGUCAUAUCGAGUCAAAUCUCAAUCUGUGUCGAUGAAAUUACAUGUGAAGGAUCUGAUCGGUAUUGUCACAACAUCGAUACAUGAAACACAUUGUGAAUCCUUUCUAACUCUAACAACAAAGCUAGUCGAUAUGCCAUUGGCCCUAUUCUAUCAAUAAUCUCAUACGGCCCAAUGAAUCGCGGACUCAACUUGCCUUUGUGACCAAACCUAAGAAUUUUCUUCCACGGUGAUACUUUCAGAAAAACUUUAUCACCGACCUAAAAUUCAAUAUCCUUUCAUUUCAAAUCAUCGUACAAUUUCUAUCGAUUUGAAGCUACUUUCAAACAAUCACGAAUUACUUUCACUUUCUCUUCGGUUUGUCUAACCAAAUCAACCCUGUGAAUCUAUUUUUCACUGAGCUCAGUCAAGUAUAGUAGAGUUCGGCACUUGGGACCAUAAAAUUCUUCAUACGGUGCCAUCUUUUUACUCGAUUGAAAAUUGUUGUUGUGAGCAAAUUCGACUAAUGGUGGAUAUUUCUCCCAACUACCUUCGAACUCUAAAACACAACAGCGAAGCAUAGCUUCAAGAAUUUGGAUCACUCUCUCAGAUUGACCGUUAGUUUGCAAAUGAAUUGUGGUAUUAAAAUUCAACUUUGUACCCAACGCUUCUUGCAAUUUCUUCCAAAAUCGCGACGUAAACCUCGGAUCUCUAUCCGAAAUAAUAGAAGUAGGCACUCUGUGCAAUCUAACAAUCUCAAUGUACAAUUCAGCUAGUUUUUCAAGUGAAUAAUCGGUACGUACCAGAAUAAAAUAAGUCGAUUUCAUCAAUCUAUCAACAACGACCUAUGCAACAUCUUUCUUUUUCGAAGUCAAAGGUAACCCCAAUACGAAAUCCAUCGUAACUCUAUCCCAUUUCCACUAGGGUAUCACACAGGCUGAAGCAAACCCAAAGGCACUUGAUGUUCAACCUUGCCUUUUUGACAAAUCUAACAUCUCGCUACAAACUCUGAAAUGUCUCGUUUCAUGCCUAACCACCAAUACAAUUCCUUCAAAUCAUUAUACAUCUUUGUACUUCCAGGAUGAACAGAUAGAAAACCAUUAUAUGCCUCGUAAAGAAUUUUCUAAAUCAGUUCAGUAUCUCUCGGUACACAAAUGCUAUCUUAGAAUCUCAAAUAAUAAUCGGGUCCAAUCUGAUAUUCUGAAUCACUAUUCAGUUUGCAUUGAACUCAUUUAGCUUGCAAAUAAUUAUCACCUUUCUAAGAUUUGCAAAUUUGCUGAAGAAAUACCGGUAUGCUUUCAACUCGACCAAAAUCGAUCCAUCAUCGGAUAAAGUUAAUCGCAUAUUCAUCACUCUUAAAGUAAACGAAGUCUUUCUACUUAAAGUAUCAACAACUACAUUCGCUUUCCCCAGGUGAUAGUUGAUCACUAACUCAUAACCUUUCAACAGUUCGAGCCACCUCCAUUGUCGCAAAUUGAAAUCUCUCUAAGUAAUCAAAUACUUUAAACUCUUGUGAUCAGUAAAGAUAUGGCAUUUCUCACCGAAUAAAUAGUGUCUCCAAAUUUUUAAAACAAACACAAUAGUGGCUAAUUCCAAGUCGUGCGUUGGAUAAUUCUUUUCGUGCGAUUUCAACAAUCUCGAGGCAUAGGCUAUCACUUUACCCUCUUAAAUCAAUACACAACUAAUAAACCGUAAUUUAUAUGUAUUUUUAUCCCAUGCUUAGCACAUUUAUGGAUGGUUUCUCCUUAGAUUUGGUAAAUCCGAUGCUCCUAAUUCUUUAAUUUCAUGUUUUAUCCUUAGCUGAGCAUAGAAGAGUAAAAAGAGCGAGAAACGGGCCGAAAACAAAGGAAAUAGACCCACAUAGGAAAUUAACACGGCCUGGACUUCCUCACACUGGUAAGCCACACGGCCGUGUCCAUUUGGCAGGAUCGAAGUACGACUUUCAUGGGUAGACUACACACCCGUGCCUAUUUAACAGCCUUGACCACAGGCUGGAGCAAUCGCACAUGGGCGUGUCACACGGGCGUGUCCCUGACGAGCCCAAGUAUAGUCCUAUUCAGAAAAGGCCAUUUUUGAGGGCUCUUAGGCAUUCUAAAUCUCAUUUAAACACUUGAGGAGGCACUUAGAAUAGAGACACAGAGUAGGAGGCAAUGAAUUACUCAAGGGAAGCCGAUUGAUAGAUCUCAGAAGCUGGAUUCAUCGUUAACACUGAAGAUCUCCCUUCAAUUUCCAUUUAGGGGUUUUGAGUUUUCUUUAUGUUUUGUAUUCAUUAUUCUUCUCAGAUGUUUUCUUUUAUAAUGAUGAACUAAACCCCCUAAAUGCCUAAGCGGAAUUAAACCUAAAGACGGAUCUUGUUAUUAUUAUCUGAAUUGUAUGAUAAAUAUUUGAAUUGUUCUUAAUUAUGUGUUCUUAAUUCUUGUCUUAAUAUUCCAGGAUAUUGAUUCAAGUUAAUGCUCUUAUUUAGAGGAGCAAAAGUCCUUGUCUAAGAGUAAAUUUGUCAUAAUUGAGCGGAGUUGAUUGCACGCCUAGAGAUAGGGUGACAAGAUUUUGCCAAAUUAGGGUGAAACCUAAUAAGGGGAUCCAUAAAUCGAGUUAAUGCAACACUAGGGCAUUAAUUAGAAAGAGACUUCAAUUAAUCAACCUAGGGUAAGACGUUAUUAGUCUCGAGAGAGAUAAUAAUAUAACUUAGGGAUUUCUACGGAUCAAGUCAAAUGAAUAAAUCGUCUAAUUCAGAGUCAAAUAACAAGUGAAGUCUAGGUGGAUUUUUCCUUGGGUGUUGUCUUAAUCAAUCGAGUUUUCCCAAAAGCUUUUCCCCAAUUUCUCUCUGUGCACUCUUAGUUUAGUUAAUUAGUUUAGAUAAACAAAUCCCUUAAUUUUUAGGCUAGAUAAUGAAAAGAAAGUAAUUACUAGUACUCUUGGUUCCUUUGGGUUUGACAAUCUGGUCUUGCUAAAUCUAUACUACUGUUCGACAGGUUCACUUGCCUUCAUCGUGAUAAUAGUUAGUUUCAAGAUCAAUUAAUUAUAAAUUUUUAAAACUUGUCACGAAUAUCACGUAUCAAGUUUUUGGCGCCGUUGUCGGGGAACUAAGAUAUUAGGAACACUUGAUUUUUAUUACUUUAGCCAUUUUACUUUAUUUGCAAUUUAAUUUUUUUAUUUUCUUUUCUAAUUUUUUCUUUUAUUCACUCCUGGUAGGUUUUUAUAGUGUAUGACUAGAAGCAACCCGUCGGGACCAUUACUAUUUGAUACUGAGAUCGAUCGCACAGUUCACAAAAAUUGAAGAGAAAUAAGGUGAAGCUUAAGAAACACAGAGGAAGAUCAAAAGGACGAUACUUCAACCACAACCGAGGAGAUGGCUGAAAACCAGGAAAAUCUGCUACCUCCUGCGAUUGCCGCUGAUCCAGUAAAUCAGAAUCCUACUUUGCGUACUAUGUAUGAUUAUGGUAUACCUUCUUUAACAAGAAUUGAAUCGAGCAUAGUUAAGCCUGUUAUUACUGCAAAUAAUUUUGAACUGAAACCUAACACCAUUCAAAUGAUACAGUAAUUUGUUCAGUUUGAUGGUUUGCAGGAUGAGGAUCCAAACAACCACUUGGCAAAUUUUCUAGAGUUUUGUGAUACAUUUAAAAUCAAUGGCGUUUCUAAUGAUUCCAUUAGCCUUUGGUUAUUCCCUUUUUCAUUAAGGAACAAAGCUAAACAAUGGUUGAACUCGUUACCACCAGGGUCAAUCACUACUUGGGAACAAAUGACCGAAAAUUUUUUAUUAAAAUAUUUUCCUCUGGCUAAAACAACCAAAUUACGUAAUGAUAUCUCCUCUUUUGUGCAGAUGGAUUUAGAAACACUCUACGAUGCAUGGGAGAGAUACAAGGACCUUUUGAGAAGGUGCCGUCACCAUGGGUUACCACUCUGGCUACAGGUUCAAACGUUUCACAAUAGCUUGAAUCCUUCGACUAGACAGAUGAUUGACGCAGCUGCUGGAAGAACUUUCAAUAAUAAGACACCUGAGGAUGCUUAUGAAUUUAUAGAAGAGAUGUCACUAAAUAAUUAUCAGUGGCAAGUCAUGAGGACAAAACCAACGAAAAUAGCCGGCAUUUUUAACGUCGAUUCGGUCACCAUGCUCUCUAACCAGGUAGAACUUUUGAAUAGAAAAAUUGACGAUUUUCUUGGUUCUUCACAAGUUCACCCAGUAAUGCAGUACGAAGCAAGUGGAGGUGGAUCAAGCAAUUCAGAAUAUCCACCUUAUGGCCACAACAUAGAGAACGAGUAGUUAAAUUACAUGGGUAAUAAUCCUCGAUUUCAAAAUAAUCCUUAUAGUAACACUUAUAGUGUAGGUUGGAGGAACCACCCAAACUUUUCAUGGGGAGGCCAAGGAAAUCAGAGACCACCACCCCCUCCAGGCUUUCAACAACCACCGUACUAGCAAGAAAAGAAGCCAAACCUUAAGGAGAUUCUAACAAAAUUCAUCUCGGUGUCAGAAACUCAUUUUUAGAAUACCGAGACAGCACUUAAGAAUCAAUAAGCGUCGAUCCAAGGGCUCGAAACUCAGAUAGGCUAGCUCACUAAAUUGAUAUCUGAACACCCACAAGGUAGCCUACUGAGUAACACUGAAUCUAACCCAAGGGAGUAGCUCAAUGCAAUUACCAUUCAAGAUGUGGAAGGGUUAGUUACACCUGAACUAGAACCGAGGCAAGAAACUAUGGUAAGUAAAGGUAAAGGUGAGGUGGACCACAAUAACCAAAAACAGGUAAGUAAAGAGUACAAACCAUGUGUACCAUACCCAAAUGCGACAAGCAAAGACCACUCAGGCGAACAAUUUGAUAAAUUCCUUAAACUUUUAAAGAAAUUACAUAUUAACUUACCGUUUAUUAAAGCUCUUUCGCAGAUGCCGAACGUAGUCAAAUUUUUAAAGUAGCUUUUAGCAAAUAAGCAGAAGUUAGAUGAGGCGUCACAUGUGGAGUUAAAUGUAGUUUGCUCAGCCAUACUACAGAAUAAGCUAGCCAACAAAUUGAAGAUCAAGGGAGUUUUAUGAUUCCUUGUUUAAUUGGUAGCUUAGAUGUUAAUAAUGCUUUGGCUAAUUUAGGGGCUAGUAUCAAUGUCAUGUCUUAUAAAAUGUUUAAACAAAUAGGUCUUGGGAAACCCCAACAAACUAGGAUGAGUAUUCAAUUGGUCGAUAAAACUAUCAGAUUUCCUAGAGGUAUUAUUGAAGACAUACUCGUUAAAAUUGACAAAUUUAAGUUUUAGACAUAGAGGAGGAUAGUAACGUGCCUUUAAUUUUAGGAAGGCCCUUUUUAACAACUGCCAAAACUAUAAUUGAUGUUGGUACAGGUAAACUCACACUUCGUGUGGGAGACGAAACAAUCACCCUUCAAGCUCGUAAUUUGAAUAACACAUCAAAAAUUGAGGUGGUUGUAUACAUCAUGCUAUUAAAACUGACCAUGUGGUGCAACCUACUUUGUAGGAAAGAGGUUCAGAGAACACACCUGAGCCAUGUUUGAGUAAUGACAAAGGACCUAUCUAUGAAGAACGAAUGCUACAAAUCAAAGAACUAGAUGAAUGGCAGACACAUAAACUGAGGACACACGAUAAACCAAAACCAUGCAGCAGACCCUCGUAUUGCCACUUCUGAACCUAACAGAGCAAUCCUUCUUACGGUACUCAGUACUUUCCCAUAUGGUACAGUCGAGGUAAUUCAUCCCAAAUUCGGCACUUUUAAGGUAAACAGUACUCGUCUUAAACCUUAUGUUGAUAAAAUUGAUAGCAGGGAUGAGGAGUGUAAACUCCUCGUAACACCAUGACCAUGCAACAGAAAGGUAAGUCAAGCUUAGACUAUAAAUAAGUGCUUCUCGGGAGGCAACCCAAGCACUAACGGUGUUAACUUCUUUAAAUUUUAAUCUUUAACAUUUAAUUCACUAACGAGUCACUGAACACAGGAUUUCCAGAACCACACAGCCAGGCACACGGCCGUGCGAUACGGCUGUGUAAAAAUAGAGAAAAAAUGUUCCCUAACAUGGGAUCUGAUAAGUUGCCACGUCGUGUGAGGCAAUCCUGCCAAAUUAACACGGGCGUGUGACACGACCGUGCCCCCCAACCAUGGUCGAGCCUGUCAAAAUAACACUAGCGUACGUCUGCAUACAUGGGUGUGGGAGAGGCGAACAAAGAUUGACACAGCCGUGUACACCAAUGCACCCAAUUUUGAAACCAUAAAACACACGAGCUGGAAUGAGGGCACACAGGUGUGCCCCACGGCCGUGUGCCCCAAUUUCUUUAUAAACACCUAUUAUUUAUUUUAUUUUUAUCUUUAACUUUUGAAAUUACUUUUUAUUUUCUUUUAAUACUAUUUUAUCUUGAGAUUUUAUAAUUUUUUUAUUCGGCUAUUUCUUUACGAGUAAUUAUGCUUCUUUAUAUUUCCUAAAAAGUUCCUGAUUCUAUCACAGUUAUAAAGAGCUCCAAAGCUCAUCAUCACUUAGGAACUAAAAACUCCACUGGAAAAGGUUCUCCAUGACUGGUAUAUCCUGCUCCACCACAACCAUAGCUACUACCAGAUAUAAUAUUCUUUUGGCGCAUGACUUAGGAACUAAUGAACCUCUACCACCACUGGAGUAUCCUCCUCCAAUCUUAUCAUUGCCUUGGCCGAUUAUUCUCCAUCACUCCAAUUCAAGGAGUCCAUUCAUCAUUCAGGAAGUUUCACUUCUCUCCCUAUCUUAUGAUCUUAUAUCUAUAUCCUCAUGAAUCUAACUUUGUACAUUGAGGACAAUGUACAUCUUAAGUGUGAGGGGGUCUUUUAUAUCAUUAUCACAAAUCCCUAAAUUUUGUCUUGUUCUUAUGUGAUCUUCUCAUACCACUAUUAGAAUGAAUUUUGAUUAAGUUAUGAUUUUUAUUGAUAUGUCUUGAAUUAAAACAUAGGCAUUUAUGCAUUGGUCGUUUAAACUUUAAGAUAUUAGGGAAUCAAGCAUGAUAAGUUGAUUUUUGAGAAUUAAAAAUUUUAUGUUGUUUCCCCAAGUUUAGAUAUUAUCUUGUGUUGAAAUUCACAAGUUUAAACAUAAAAAAGCCAUAAUUUUUGUGAGAUCUUGAGCCUUUAGAGCAUAUGUUAUUUCUUUCAUGCUCACUUUUAUUAUGAGUGCGUCAGUAUUGAUUUGUUAUUCUAGAACUUGCUUGAUUAUGCAUGUCAAGACCACACCAUUUGAUUUGAUAUGUCGAGAUGAUAAAGGCAUUUAGGUUUAACCCACUCACUCCAGAAAAGCCUACCUUCAUAAUUAACCCUUAGUGAACCCCUUUGAGCCAAACAAGCUAUUAAUUAAUUUACCCUCAGUAUUAACCCAUAACCCAUUAUUAUUGAAAUCCCCUAAUUUGAUCCCUAUUUUUGUCGAGAUUUGAUUUGAAUUAAUUGCUUAGCUAUGUUUUAUUCUUCAUUGCAAUAAUUAAGUUCUAUGUUAUUUGACUUGUUCUUAAAAAAAUAAUAAUACUUACAUACAUAUUAGUAGUAAUUCGUCGUUUUUGAGCUUGAGUGUUAAUUCCAUAUUCUGAGAAGAAGCUCAUUUGUAUUCAACUGAUAAUUAGUUAUUUUUCUAGUUAGGUGAUUUUUUUUCAAUUCAAUCUCGAUUCUAACCUAUACUUUUAGCUUGUGACCACACCCCCUAACCAAAGCCACGUUACAACCCUCUAAAGACCUUUUUGAUUGAUGUAUCAUCUCAGUAUAUAGUGGUGGAGAUUUGAUUUUCAUGCAAGCCUAUGGUAAUAACUUUUCAUAUUGGCAAAUGAGUGGUCUAUUUGAGGUCCUUAAACACCUCGAGUGAUUUGAGUGAAUCUCUAGUGAGGAUGUUAAACUCUGUGAUAUUUUGAUCAAAGGUGAUUACUUAAAUGAGGGGGGACUCCUAUGUUUUCGUCAUAAAAUGCUCAACUUGGAAUGUUUGAAACUUUGAUGUACUUUUAGUUGAAUUUUCAAUGUAUGAUUACUUAUGGAUUAUUUUGAGAUAUUAUUGAUAGGGAUUAAAAAUUGAGAAGAAUUUAUUUUGAUUGUGAGUUGAGGAUUUUGCUUGAGGACAAGCAAACGCUUAAAUGUGGGGAUAUUUCAUAAACCAUAAUUUAUACAUAUUUUUAUCCCAUGCUUAACACAUUUAUGGAUGGUUUAUCCUUAGAUUUGGUGAAUUCGAUGCUCCUAAUUCUUCCAUUUCAUGUUUUAUACUUAGGUGAGCAUGGAAGAGUAAAAAGAGCGAGAAACGGGCCGAAAACGGAGAAAAUGGACCUACGACCUGGGCUUCCUCACACGGGUAAGCCACACGAUCGUGUCCAUUUGGCAGGAUCGAAGCACGACUUACACGGGUCGACUACACGCCCAUGCCUAUUUAACAGCCUUGACCACGGGCUAGAGCAAUCGCAUACAAGCGUGUCCCUGACGAGCCCAAGUAUAGUCUUAUUCAGAAAAGGCCACUUUUGAGGGAUCUUAGGCAUUCUAAAUCCCAUUUAAACACUUCAGGAGGCACUUAGAAUAGAAACACAGAGUAGGAGGCAAGGAAUUACUCAAGGGAAGCUGAUUGAUAGAUCUCAAAAACCGGAUUCAUCGUUAAGACUGAAGAUCUCCCUUCAAUUUCCAUUCAGGGGUUUUGGGUUUUCUUUAUGUUUUGUAUUCAUUAUUCUUCUCAGAUGUUUUAAUUGAUAAUUAUUAACAAAACCCCCUAAAUACCUAAGCAGAAUUAAACCUAAAGACAAAUCUUGUUAUUAUUAUCUGAAUUGUAUGAUAAAUAUUUGACUUGUUCUUAAUUAUGUGUUCUUAAUUCUUGUCUUAAUAUUCCAGGAUAUUGAUUCAAGUUAAUGCGCUUAUUCAGAGGAGCAAAAGUCCCUAUCUAAGAGUAAAUUUGUCAUAAUUGAGCGGAGUUGAUUGCACGCCUAGAGAUAGGGUGACAAGAUUUUGCCAAAUUAGGGUGAAACCUAAUAAGGGGAUCCAUAUAAUCGAGUUAAUGCAACACUAUGGCAUUAAUUAGAAAGAUAUUUCAAUUAAUCAACCUAGGGUUAGACGUUAUUAGUCUCGAGAGAGAUAAUAAUGUAACUUAGGGAUUUCUACGGAUCAAGUCAAAUGAAUAAAUCGUCUUAUUCAGAGUCAAAUAACAAGUGAAGUAGAGGUGGAUUUUUCCUUGGGUGUUGUCUUAAUCAAUCGAGUUUUCCCAAAAGCUUUUCCCCAAUUUCUCUCUGUGCACUCUUAGUUUAGUUAAUUAGUUUAGAUAAACAAAUCCUUUAAUUUUUAGGCUAGAUAAUAAAAAGAAAGUAAUUACUAGUACUCUUGGUUCCUUUGGGUUCGACAAUCCGGUCUUGCUAAAGCUAUACUACUGUUCGAUAGGUACACUUGUCUUCAUCAUGAUAAUAGUUAGUUUCAAGAAUGAUUAAUUAUAGAAUUUUAAAACCUGUCACGAAUAUCACGUAUCAACAACCAAGACUGUUCAAUGACGCAUCGCUAAAAAUCACAAACUCUUUCUCCAACUCAGGUUGCACUAACACUAGUGCCUCAAUCAACAACGCUUUCAACUCUUCAAAACUCUUUUGACAUUUCUCAGACCACUCGAAUUUCACAUCCUUUGGUAACAAUUUGGUCAUAGGUGUAGCAAUCAUCAAAAAUCCUUUAACAAAAUGUCGAUAAUAACCAGCCAAACCCAAAAAGCUUCUAACUUCGGAUACAUUUCUUGGUGGUUUCUAAUUGACAACUGCAGAAAUCUUACUUACAUCAACCCGUAUACCUUCUACUGAAACAAUGUGUCCCAAAAAUCCAACUUCUCGAAGCCAAAACUCAUUUUUACUGAAUUUAGCAAACAAUUUCUUAUCUCUCAAGGUCUGCAAUACAAUUCUUAAAUGUUUGGCAUGCUCAGACUCAUCUCAGGAAUAAAUCAGGAUGUAUUUAAUAAAAACAAACACAAACUUAUCUAAAUAUGGUCUAAAGAUUCAAUUCAUCAAGUCCAUAAAAACUGCAGGAGCAUUAAUUAAUCUGAAAGGCAUAAUAAGAAAUUCAUAAUGUCCAUACUUCCUUCUGAACGUGGUUUUCGGCACAUCUGAAUCCUUAACUCUCAAAUGAUAAUAGCCUGAUCUCAAGUCUAUCUUUAAGAACACUAUUGCCCCUUUCAACUGAUCAAACAAAUCAUCAAUUCUCGAUAAAGGAUAGUUGUUCUUUAUCAUAACAUUGUUAAGUUAACAAUAAUCAAUACAAAGUCUCAUGGAUCUGUCUUUCUUCUUGACGAAUAACACUGGUACACCCUAGGGCGAAAAACUCGGUCUCGCAAAACCUUUAUCUGUCAACUCUUGCAACUGAGAUUUUAAUUCAUUCAAUUUGGUAGGAGCCAUUCUAUACGGAGCUAACGAUAUUGGUGAAGUUCCCAAUACUAAAUCAAUAGUAAACUCAACCUCUCUGAUCGGUGGUAAUCCAAGCAAUUCUUCUAGGAACACAUCUGGGUAUUCACAAACUACCAACACAGAUUCAAUCUUCAGUUCAGACACGUUCGUAUUCAAUACAUAGGCAAGAUAAGCUUUACAACCUUUUCUUACAUACCUUUGAGCCGACAUCGACGAAAUCACAAUAGGCAACUCACCUGACUAUCUGAUUCAAUCCGAAGAAUUUCAUUAUUUUAACAUUUUAAUUCAAUAAUCUUUUAUCUACAAUUCAGUAUGACAUCAUGUAGAGUCAACCAAUCCAUUCCAAGAAUUACAUCGAACUCACAAAUGGUAAAAGCAUUAAGUCAGCCGGAAAAUAGUGACCCCGAAUCAUUAAAGGACGACUCUUGCAAACUUUAUCAACUAGAACAUAUUUUCCUAAGAUGUUCGACACUUUAAACACAUACUCAGUCGGCUCAACAGGAAAAUUCUUACUAGAUACCAAAUUCAUCCAAAUAUAAGAAUGAGUCGAUCUAGGAUCGAUCAAUACAACUACAUUAGUAUCAUAGAGAGAAAAUGUACCAAUGAUAACAUCAGGGGAUGAUGCAUCUUCGAGAGCAUGAAUAGCGUAGGUUCUAGUAAAUGCCCUGGCCUCUUAUCUCGCAGUUAACCCUUUCAUCACACCUCUACUACUAUUCCCACUUCCAGUAUUUCUCGGCGGCCUCCCCCUAAUGGCAGUGUUACUCGGCCUUACAUUCUAAAAAUUAUCUUUCUCAGUAAUUUCAGGGCAAUCUCGAAUAAAGUGAUCUUGGGAGCCAUAUUUAAAGCAAGCUCGGCUAUUCAUCUUGCAUUCACCGGGAUGUCGCCUACCACAGUGUUGACAUUCAGGUCUAUUAGACCUAGCAUUACCAAUGCUCGCUAUUGACAUAGCUUCGGCCUUAGAACCCGAAUAUUGCUUUCCACGAUCUCUGUUGGGAUACCCAGCCAAAACAUUAGAAAGAGUAUACAAAUCUCUUAAUUUCUUUAACAGAGAUUGAAAUGACUUAUUUAUCGUCUUUUUCUCAAAUCUCUAGUCUCAACCUUACCCUUUCUCUUUUUUUUUGCUCAACUCUUUGCUUUGCAAGCUCGAUUGACUAGUACAACAAAUUCUUUCAACUCUAAAAUCCCAACUAGCAGUCUGAUGUCCUCAUUCAAUCCAUUUUCAAAUCUCUUGCACAUGAUAGCCUCGAUGGAAACAUAUUCUCGAGCGUACUUACUGAGCCUAACAAAUUCUCGCUCAUAUUUAGUCACAAACAUACGGCCCUAUUUUAGCUCUAAAAACUCUUUGUGUUUCUGAUCAAUGAACCGUUGACUGAUAUAUUUCUUUUUGAACUCAUCUUGAAAGUAUUCCCAGGUUACCCUUUCUUUGGUACCACUGAUACAAGAGUAUUCCACCACUGAUAUACCGAGUCCCUCAGAAGUGAUAUAGCACAUUUCAAACACUCAUCUGGUGUGAAAAAAAUCUCAUCAAAUACCCUGAUAAAGUUCUCAAGCCAAAACUCAGCUCUCUCGGGAUCAUCGUCAACAUUGGCUCUAAAUUCUUUAGCCCCUUAUUUCUGAAUCUUAUUAACUGGAGGCUUCUUCAACCUUAACAAUUCCACACCUUGGGGAGCUAUGGGAACUGCUUUGGGGUUAGGUAGGGGUGGACGAUGUUGGGUAGCCAGAUUUUUUUGAACAAACUCGGCAAACCACUCAUUCAUCCUUUGGAAUAAGGCUUCCCUAGCCUCUCCUCCCUGACUAACUGAUAAAGCGUAAUUUAUACAUAUUUUUACCCAAUGUUUAAUGCAUUUUAUGGGUGAUUUCCCAUUAGAAUUGGUGAAUCCGAUGCUCCUAAUUCUCUAAUUUCAUGUUUUAUACUAGGAGAGCAUAAGAGAGCGAAAGGAAUGAGAAACAGGCCAAAAAUGGAGAAAAUGGGCCAAAUUACAAAAUCAACACAGCCUGGACCUCCUCACACGGGCAGACCACACGGCCGUGUCAAUUUGGCAGGCUCGAGCACAGCCUGAAGUAAUCGCACAAGGGCGUGUCCCUGCAGAGCCCAAUUUGAGUCCAAUUCAGAAAAGGCUAAUUUUAAGGGCUUUUAGGCAUUCCAAAGCCUAUAAAUACACCCUAGAGGAGGAAGAAAGGAAGACACAAAGAAUAGGGGGCAAGGAAUUACCCUAAGAAAGCCGAUUGAUCCAUCUCAGAAGCCAGAUUCAUCAUCAAGACUGAAGAUCUCUCCUCAAUUUCCCUUCGGGAGUUUUAGGUUUUCUUUAUGUUUUGUAUUCUUUAUUAUUCUAAGAUUUUUUUUUGUUUAGUUAUGAACUAAAACCCCUAAAUACCUAAGGGGAAUGAAACCUAAGACGAAUCUUGUUAUUAUUUUCUGAAUCGUAUGAUAAAUAUUUAACUUGUUCUUAAUUAUGUGUUCUUAAUUCUUGUUUUGAUAUCCCAGGAUACUGAUUCAAGAUAAGCUCUUAUUCAGAGGAGGAAUAGACCCUGUUUAAGAUUACAUUUGUCAUAAUUAAGCAAAGUUGAUUGCGCGCCUAGACAUAGGGUGACAAGAUUUUGCUGGAUUAGGGUGAAACCUAAUAAGGAGAUCCAUAGAUCGAGUUAAUGCAACCCUAGAGUGUUAAUUAGUGAAAAGUCUCGGUUAUUCAAUCUAGGGAGUAGAUGUUAUUAGUCUUGAAUAGGGAUAAUAACAUAACUUAGGGAUCUCUACGGAACAAGUUAAAUGAAUAAAUCGUCCGAUUCGGAGCCAGAAUAACAAGUUAGAGUGAGAAUUUGAUGUUGUUAUAGAAGAGAAAAAUGUUCAGCAUGUCAUAAAACAUAAGAAUAAGGGCUGAAAUUAAAUUUUUGAGCCUAGGGGAAAAAUCAUAAUUUUGUAAAAGUUAGGGGGCAAAAAUGUAAUUUUUUCAUAAUGAGAUUUUUGGAUUGAAAUUAGUAGUAUGAGUGUUAAAUGAGCUAAAUAUGUCGUUAGAGAUCAAGAAAGGUGUGGAAUCGACCUCGAACAGGGGAAGGAAAAGUUUUUGGACUAAAUUGCAAAAUUUCCAUAUUUUGCACCGAGGUAAGUUUGCGUGUAAAUAAUACAUUAACUUCAUUUACAUUUUUGUAUUUCAGCCUAUUUUAUAUAUUUUAGUUGAUUUUGAAUCAUAAAUCGACUAUUAGAAGAAUGAAAAUAAGUAAUAGUGAGAGAAAUCCCGGUUGAACUUUCGAAAAGAUUGAAUAAUAUAGAUGAAAUGUAGCUAGAUCACACGUAUGGUGCUGAGUGCACAUCAUGUGUACAAGAGAGCUACGUGAUACUAUGUAGUAGCUAGGUCACAUGUGUGAUACGGGAUGUAUCCUAUGUAGACAAGAGAGCUACGGGAGAGGAUAAAUGUAGCUAGGUCGCAUUUGUGAUUCCAAGUGAAGGACACCAUGUAGACAAGAGAGCUACGAGAUAAAUUGGCUAGGUCACAUGGGUGGUACGAAGUGUUCACCAUGUGUACAAGAGAGCCAAAUUAUAUGAAAUAUGAUGGUGGAGCUGUGUGCUGAAAUCACCAAGUAUCGAGGAUUGAUCUGAAUUGUUCAACAGGAUGAUUUUAUAGUGACAUUGUAAUCAUGAACCUGCACUUGUGAUGUAUGAAAUGUGGUGAAAGUGAAUUGUGAUAUGUAGGCUAAAUGAGGUAAAUACAAAGAAAGUGUGAAAGAGUGAAUUAGCAAUAAUACUGUUUUGGACAGUUGCAGUGACGUGAAUUUGAAAAAUCACCAAACAUAGUAGGAAUUUAAUUA
Molecule: long non-coding RNA, 22772 nt
Filed under: Gossypium barbadense (sea-island cotton)
Lineage: Eukaryota; Viridiplantae; Streptophyta; Magnoliopsida; Malvales; Malvaceae
Description: long non-coding RNA (GBAR_LNC005324)
Source: RNAcentral